CGGACGGGUGAGUAAUGUCUGGGAAACUGCCUGAUGGAGGGGGAUAACUACUGGAAACGGUAGCUAAUACCGCAUAACGUCGCAAGACCAAAGAGGGGACCUUAGGGCCUCUUGCCAUCGGAUGUGCCCAGAUGGGAUUAGCUAGUAGGUGGGGUAACGGCUCACCUAGGCGACGAUCCCUAGCUGGUCUGAGAGGAUGAUCAGCCACACUGGGACUGAGACACGGCCCAG
This 231-nucleotide ribosomal RNA is filed under the name uncultured bacterium. RNAcentral's name for it is "partial 16S ribosomal RNA". It matches the Rfam family "Bacterial small subunit ribosomal RNA", at positions 99 to 334 of the family's 1533-position model. The record is from RNAcentral.